AACACAUAUUAUCUUAGUAAUAAAAUAUGUAUUAUCUAUAUAUAAAAGCGUAUAGAAAUUACGAUAGACGAAAUCUAAAAAGAAAUAAAAUAAUAUUCCCUACGAAUGGUUAUAAUUAAUUUGUUAAAAAUAUUUCAAAUAAAAACGAACAGUUAUGAUCAAUCUAUUAAAAUCUCAUCCAAAAGAGAAUGAAAUAAUAUUCCAUACGAAUGGUUAUGAUUAAUUUAUUAAAAAUAUCUCAAAAUAAAAACGAACGGUUAUAAUCAAUCUAUUAAAUCUCUACUAUAUAUAAAAAUCUAUUCCGUAUAAAUGGUUAUAAUCAAUUUGUUAAAAAAAUAUCUCAAAUAAAAACAGUUAUGAUUAAUCUAUUAAAAAAUAGCAUUCCUAUCCAUCUAUAAAUUCAAUCUUACGAACGAUUAUAAUCAAUUUGUUAAAAAAUAUCUCAAAUAAAAACAAACGAUUAUGAUCAAUUUGUUAAAAAAUAACAUUCCUAUUCAUCUAUUUUAUAUUAAAAUUAAAAUUUGAGUUUAAAUUAUUAAUUAAAUUUAAUUUUUGAU
Molecule: long non-coding RNA, 557 nt
Filed under: Ananas comosus (pineapple)
Lineage: Eukaryota; Viridiplantae; Streptophyta; Magnoliopsida; Poales; Bromeliaceae
Description: long non-coding RNA (ACOM_LNC023083)
Source: RNAcentral